Long non-coding RNA from Drosophila yakuba, 592 nucleotides. RefSeq lists it as uncharacterized. NCBI's taxonomy places the organism in Eukaryota, Metazoa, Arthropoda, Insecta, Diptera, Drosophilidae. The record is from RefSeq and is a predicted model, not a curated record. The transcript is spliced from 3 exons.
ACUGCAAUUGGAUGGCAAUUACUACGUUAUUGGCUGUGCUAUAUUAAGCAAUUUCAUGGUAAUUAGAUUUCAGUUAGAAGUCAGUGGCAGAAAACUACUCUCGUCAUGGUAAAUGUCCGGUUGUGAAUACUUUUUAGUUCGGACACAGAUUGUUUUAAAUAACUUUGGCAUAUAGCAAAGUUUAAUUUAAGGUCUACGAAGUUGCUGCAUUACACGGUCUGGGAACAUUUCCAAGUCUUUUAAAUAGAUAAAACCAUUGUCCUGAAAUAUAUUUUUAGAGCGUUAGAUUUCUUAUCGCUGCUCCCUUCUUGUCUAGACUCCUCUGGUUUUCUCUGAUUUAACCCCACUGGAUCCGCGUUGGGCUUCAAUGACUUUCCGAAACUUGCGUGUUCUACUCACCGUUCGCAGUUGCACUUAAGCAGGCGGAUAAAGGCCGCCCGAAACGUUCGAUUGAAUAUGGUGUAGAUGAUUGGAUUGAUCGUCGAGGAGACAUAACCAAGCCAAAGACAGGUAUUCACUACGCGCUCCGGCACUCGGCACUCAGGGCAGAUGGCAAAUAUAAUGUUCAAGAUAAAAAAAGGGGACCAGCACA